This 424-nucleotide ribosomal RNA is filed under the name Fusobacteriota bacterium. RNAcentral's name for it is "Fusobacteria bacterium partial 16S ribosomal RNA". It matches the Rfam family "Bacterial small subunit ribosomal RNA", at positions 355 to 776 of the family's 1533-position model. The record is from RNAcentral. Lineage: Bacteria; Fusobacteriati; Fusobacteriota.
UGAGGAAUAUUGGUCAAUGGGCGAGAGCCUGAACCAGCCAAGUCGCGUGAAGGAAGACAGUCCUAAGGAUUGUAAACUUCUUUUAUACGGGAAUAACGGGCGAUACGAGUAUUGCAUUGAAUGUACCGUAAGAAUAAGCAUCGGCUAACUCCGUGCCAGCAGCCGCGGUAAUACGGAGGAUGCGAGCGUUAUCCGGAUUUAUUGGGUUUAAAGGGUGCGUAGGUUGUUCGGUAAGUCAGCGGUGAAACCUGAGCGCUCAACGUUCAGCCUGCCGUUGAGACUGCCAGGCUUGAGUUCAGUGGCGGCAGGCGGAAUUCGUGGUGUAGCGGUGAAAUGCAUAGAUAUCACAAGGAACUCCGAUUGCGAAGGCAGCUUGCCAUACAGCGACUGACACUGAAGCACGAAGGCGUGGGUAUCAAACAGG